GAUGAAGAACGCAGCGAAAUGCGAUAAGUAGUGUGAAUUGCAGAAUUCAGUGAAUCAUCGAAUCUUUGAACGCACAUUGCGCCCCUUGGUAUUCCAUGGGGCAUGCCUGUUCGAGCGUCAUUUGUACCUUCAAGCUCUGCUUGGUGUUGGGUGUUUGUCUCGCCUCUGCGUGUAGACUCGCCUCAAAAUAAUUGGCAGCCGGCGUAUUGAUUUCGGAGCGCAGUACAUCUCGCGCUUUGCUCUCAUAACGACGACGUCCAAAAGUACAUUUUUACACUCUUGACCUCGGAUCAGGUAGGGAUACCCGCUGAACUUAAGCAUAUCAAUAAGCGGAGGA
RNAcentral lists this unclassified non-coding RNA (337 nucleotides) under soil metagenome. Its description in RNAcentral is "partial contains 5.8S ribosomal RNA, internal transcribed spacer 2, and large subunit ribosomal RNA". The stretch from base 1 to 120 matches the Rfam family "5.8S ribosomal RNA", at positions 35 to 154 of the family's 154-position model. The record is from RNAcentral.